GCGGAUGUGGCGGAAUUGGUAGACGCGCUAGCCUCAGGCGCUAGUGGGAGCAAUCUCGUGGAGGUUCGAGUCCUCUCAUCCGCA
Molecule: transfer RNA, 84 nt
Filed under: Acidobacteriota bacterium
Lineage: Bacteria; Pseudomonadati; Acidobacteriota
Also listed under: 1 other name
Description: tRNA-Leu
Rfam family: tRNA
About the family: Transfer RNA (tRNA) molecules are approximately 80 nucleotides in length.
Source: RNAcentral